RNAcentral lists this ribosomal RNA (230 nucleotides) under uncultured bacterium. RNAcentral's name for it is "partial 16S ribosomal RNA". It matches the Rfam family "Bacterial small subunit ribosomal RNA", at positions 562 to 791 of the family's 1533-position model. The record is from RNAcentral.
AAAGCGCGCGUAGGUGGUUUGUUAAGUUGGAUGUGAAAGCCCCGGGCUCAACCUGGGAACUGCAUCCAAAACUGGCAAGCUAGAGUAUGGUAGAGGGUGGUGGAAUUUCCUGUGUAGCGGUGAAAUGCGUAGAUAUAGGAAGGAACACCAGUGGCGAAGGCGACCACCUGGACUGAUACUGACACUGAGGUGCGAAAGCGUGGGGAGCAAACAGGAUUAGAUACCCCAGU